This 766-nucleotide ribosomal RNA is filed under the name Microsporidium sp. BLAT8. Its description in RNAcentral is "SSU rRNA". It matches the Rfam family "Microsporidia small subunit ribosomal RNA", at positions 1 to 788 of the family's 1311-position model. Lineage: Eukaryota; Fungi; Microsporidia. The record is from RNAcentral.
CACCAGGUUGAUUCUGCCUGACGUAGACGCUAGCCUCGAAGGUUAAGCCAUGCAUGCCCGUGACGCAAGGAACGGCGAACGGCUCAGUAAUACUGCGACCAUCUGCUUCCGCGCGAGCAAUAACCACGGGAAACUGUGGCUAAGAGCGCGGAUUGAGACGCAGCCCUAUCAGCGAGUUGGUAGUGUAACGGACUACCAAGGCGGCGACGGGUAACGGGAAAUCAGGGUUUGAUUCCGGAGAGGGAGCCUGAGAGAUGGCUCCCACGUCCAAGGACGGCAGCAGGCGCGAAAAUUGCCCACUCUCCGUGAGGAGGCAGUUACGAGGCGUGACGGAAGGGCGCACUGUAAAGACGUGCGCGAACGCGAUUGGAGGGCAAGUUCGGUGCCAGCAGCCGCGGUAAUACCGACUCCAAGAGUGUCUAUGGUGGAUGCUGCAGUUAAAAAGUCCGUAGUCGGCACUGCGACGAAAGCGCGCCGUUCGAUGGCGCAGGCGUUGCAGGUGCUUGCGGAGCGGGCGGGGGGCACGGUAUAGGCGGGCGAGAGAUGAAAUGCCAAGACCCUGCCUGGACCGACGGCGGCGAAGGCGGUGCCCUCGCACGCGUCUGUGGAUCAAGGACGAAGGCCGGAGGAUCGAAAGUGAUUAGAGACCGCUGUAGUUCCGGCAGUAAACGAUGCCGACACCGCGCGGCGAGGCUGCGCGGGGGGGAAACCUUAGUGUUCGGGCUCUGGGGAUAGUAUGCCCGCAAGUGUGAAAAUUAAAGAAAUU